This 465-nucleotide ribosomal RNA is filed under the name Vreelandella stevensii. RNAcentral's name for it is "partial 16S ribosomal RNA". It matches the Rfam family "Bacterial small subunit ribosomal RNA", at positions 338 to 795 of the family's 1533-position model. Lineage: Bacteria; Pseudomonadati; Pseudomonadota; Gammaproteobacteria; Oceanospirillales; Halomonadaceae. The record is from RNAcentral.
CCUACGGGAGGCAGCAGUUGGGAAUAUUGGACAAUGGGGGCAACCCUGAUCCAGCCAUGCCGCGUGUGUGAAGAAGGCCCUCGGGUUGUAAAGCACUUUCAGUGAGGAAGAACGCCUGGUGGUUAAUACCCAUCAGGAAAGACAUCACUCACAGAAGAAGCACCGGCUAACUCCGUGCCAGCAGCCGCGGUAAUACGGAGGGUGCGAGCGUUAAUCGGAAUUACUGGGCGUAAAGCGCGCGUAGGUGGCUUGAUAAGCCGGUUGUGAAAGCCCCGGGCUCAACCUGGGAACGGCAUCCGGAACUGUCAAGCUAGAGUGCAGGAGAGGAAGGUAGAAUUCCCGGUGUAGCGGUGAAAUGCGUAGAGAUCGGGAGGAAUACCAGUGGCGAAGGCGGCCUUCUGGACUGACACUGACACUGAGGUGCGAAAGCGUGGGUAGCAAACAGGAUUAGAUACCCCAGUAGUC